This 729-nucleotide ribosomal RNA is filed under the name uncultured endophytic bacterium. RNAcentral's name for it is "bacterial SSU rRNA". It matches the Rfam family "Bacterial small subunit ribosomal RNA", at positions 771 to 1505 of the family's 1533-position model. The record is from RNAcentral.
AACAGGAUUAGAUACCCUGGUAGUCCACGCCCUAAACGAUGUCAACUAGUUGUCGGGUCUUCAUUGACUUGGUAACGUAGCUAACGCGUGAAGUUGACCGCCUGGGGAGUACGGUCGCAAGAUUAAAACUCAAAGGAAUUGACGGGGACCCGCACAAGCGGUGGAUGAUGUGGAUUAAUUCGAUGCAACGCGAAAAACCUUACCUACCCUUGACAUGUAUGGAACCCUGCUGAGAGGUGGGGGUGCCCGAAAGGGAGCCAUAACACAGGUGCUGCAUGGCUGUCGUCAGCUCGUAUCGUGAGAUGUUGGGUUAAGUCCCGCAACGAGCGCAACCCUUGUCCCUAGUUGCUACGCAAGAGCACUCUAGGGAGACUGCCGGUGACAAACCGGAGGAAGGUGGGGAUGACGUCAAGUCCUCAUGGCCCUUAUGGGUAGGGCUUCACACGUCAUACAAUGGUCGGAACAGAGGGUCGCCAAGCCGCGAGGUGGAGCCAAUCCCAGAAAACCGAUCGUAGUCCGGAUCGCACUCUGCAACUCGAGUGCGUGAAGCUGGAAUCGCUAGUAAUCGCGGAUCAGCAUGCCGCGGUGAAUACGUUCCCGGGUCUUGUACACACCGCCCGUCACACCAUGGGAGUGGGUUUCACCAGAAGUAGGUAGCCUAACCGCAAGGAGGGCGCUUACCACGGUGGGAUUCAUGACUGGGGUGAAGUCGUAACAAGGUAACCGUAA